GCAGCGAGCGGAGCGGCGGCUAGAACUGCAGGAGGGGCGGAGAACCUUGCCGGCACACACAAGGAUGGAUCCCGCCUAGCGCUCCACAUCAGAUCGCUACCGUUCUUUGUAUCUGACCGCCGACGCCACCUCCCGCCGGUCUUGUACUCGAGUCUGCAUCCUCUCAGAUCUGAUGAUGCAUGUUCUACAGGCUGCUUCAGGCUAUAAUUUGACUUCAGAUCUGUUAUACCCAUCGGCUUCUAUUAGUAAUUUUGUAAUUCAAGAUUCAGGCAGCUUCAGAGUUUGUUAGUGUGUGACUUGUCAAUUUUUAAUGUAUGCUGUACAUCAAGUAUGUUGCCAUGUCGAGAGUUCAAGUCCAGAGUGGCCUAUGAUUUAUUUGAAGACAGUUUAUCACUUGAUCUAGCUGAUGUACUCCUUCAAGCCGUACUAGUGUUAAUUUUAACAUGUACUGAAACUCAA
Molecule: long non-coding RNA, 459 nt
Organism: Lolium rigidum
Lineage: Eukaryota; Viridiplantae; Streptophyta; Magnoliopsida; Poales; Poaceae
Exons: 2
Source: RefSeq, a predicted model, not a curated record